Molecule: ribosomal RNA, 483 nt
Filed under: uncultured bacterium
Lineage: Bacteria
Description: partial 16S ribosomal RNA
Rfam family: Bacterial small subunit ribosomal RNA
Source: RNAcentral
GAUGAACGCUGGCGGCGUGCCUAACACAUGCAAGUCGAACGAAGCUUGACGGAUGAUUUCUUCGGAAUGAAACCAGAUGUGACUUAGUGGCGGACGGGUGAGUAACACGUGAGCAACCUGCCUUUCAGAGGGGGAUAACGGCUGGAAACGGUCGCUAAUACCGCAUGAUGUGUUCGGAUGGCAUCAUCUGAACAUCAAAGAUUUAUCGCUGAAAGAUGGGCUCGCGUCUGAUUAGAUAGUUGGUGGGGUAACGGCCUACCAAGUCUACGAUCAGUAGCCGGACUGAGAGGUUGAACGGCCACAUUGGGACUGAGAUACGGCCCAGACUCCUACGGGAGGCGGCAGUGGGGAAUAUUGCACAAUGGGGGAAACCCUGAUGCAGCAACGCCGCGUGAAGGAUGACGGUUUUCGGAUUGUAAACUUCUUUUCUUAGUGACGAAGACAGUGACGGUAGCUAAGGAAUAAGCAUCGGCUAACUACGUG